This is a long non-coding RNA of Lycium ferocissimum, 654 nucleotides long. RefSeq lists it as uncharacterized. NCBI's taxonomy places the organism in Eukaryota, Viridiplantae, Streptophyta, Magnoliopsida, Solanales, Solanaceae. The transcript is spliced from 3 exons. The record is from RefSeq and is a predicted model, not a curated record.
GAGGAGAAUUAGAGAGAAAUUGAGAAUCAACCAAGUUUAAGGCCCCGAAUCCCGAAGCUCGUGAAGGAUAAAGUGUAGUACAAGUUGUUGCCGUCAUUCUAAGCUAAAAAUCAAACUUGGGGAUGUUGAUUUCGUGGUGACUACUCAUAAAAGAUUAAGGUUGAAGGGAUUGAAGGACAUUGUGAUACGCUCAAAAGCAGGAAGUCAAGGUACGGAUUUACAGGAUGACGCUUCUGCUCAUUAGGAUUUGCACGUACCAGCUUAUUGGUGAGCCCCAUCUCAUUCGGGGUUUUGACAUUGUCUUUUUUUAUUUAGUUUUACAUCUAAAGGUAUGCUGGGGGCCUUAUCCCAGCAAGUACGUUUUAUGAUCAGACUCAUGCUAGAGGUUUCAUAAACUAGACAAGUCAGUUGGGUCAUGUUAGACUUUCAGAAUCGGUUAGCCAUUUAGGCUCAGCUAUGGUAUUAUCCGCGCUCUUGUUUUUAAACAAGUAUUUUAUAAUCAUUAUGACUUCAUAUGUUUUCUUAAAGCCCAUCAUGUUUCAUAAUAUAUUUUCACUCACGUAUGUCUCAUGAUGAUUCAGCAAGCCAUGUGAUUCGCUCGGUCACAUACAGUCAGGCACCGAGUGCCGUGUUUCGCCCAGGCCAUGGUUCGGG